This 226-nucleotide ribosomal RNA is filed under the name uncultured Staphylococcus sp. Its description in RNAcentral is "partial 16S ribosomal RNA". It matches the Rfam family "Bacterial small subunit ribosomal RNA", at positions 114 to 334 of the family's 1533-position model. Lineage: Bacteria; Bacillati; Bacillota; Bacilli; Caryophanales; Staphylococcaceae. The record is from RNAcentral.
CACGUGGAUAACCUACCUAUAAGACUGGGAUAACUUCGGGAAACCGGAGCUAAUACCGGAUAAUAUUUUGAACCGCAUGGUUCAAAAGUGAAAGACGGUCUUGCUGUCACUUAUAGAUGGAUCUGCGCUGCAUUAGCUAGUUGGUAAGGUAACGGCUUACCAAGGCAACGAUGCAUAGCCGACCUGAGAGGGUGAUCGGCCACACUGGAACUGAGACACGGUCCAG